GGCACACAGCCCUCCCCAGCAUGGGAUCAGCCGACUCUUGCCUCUCCCCGCCGGAAGAGGGCAGUGGGGUGUCUGUUCCCCAGCGCAGGCCAGCUGCUGGCUUUGCUUCUCACUUAGAGCCACGCUGGUCAUCUGCGACCCAGGGGCUUAGCCCACAGGCAGCUGGGGCGCGUGGGCCGGCAGCAGGCAGCAGGACACUUGAAAAUUGUCUCUGGCCAGGGCUAGCUGUCUCCCCAGAGGACACACAGAGGAUAUCUUCCCUCCUGCCUUUGGACGAUUUAGACAUGGCUGGAGAGACCAGGCCGGGCCCCACCCAGCCAGGCCAGAAGAGGCAGCCGGGCACAGCCAUUUCCUGCAGUAACUAUGACCUGGACUACAAGCUGUACAGGGAAGAUGUCCCCUACAGGGUGUAUGAAUACCAAGGAAUCCCUCCACUCCUCAACCGCAUGCCUGUCAAGAUCCGGAGGACCCACGUGGGCAUGGGGGUUAAGAGCAGCUUCAGUCCCCACAAGGGCCCCAGGAAGAGCCACCUGCCCCGAGAGCAAAUAAAGCUCCAGACCAAGGAGCUGCACUCUAUCAGGAGGGAGCUAAACCAGAUCAAAGCCCAGGUGGACCGUCUAUUGGAGAAUCUGGAGCGCAUGGACCAGCAGAGGGACCAGUUUCCAGGGUCAGACGCCAGUGAAGAAAACAGGGCCGCAGUGAGUAAGAGUUACUCAUGCAGAAUCACUGAAGCCAAGCAGGAGCCCAGGGGCCAGAGGGCCCAUCCAGAAGCAGACAGCCCAGAGGACAGCACACACCCAGAGGAGGCAGUGAAGAAUCAUGCAUCGGACCAGGAGGGCAGUCAGUAGAAGACUGGAAUUCCUCCCGGCUUCUUCCCAGACGGCUCCCUUCCUUGCCUCAUGGGGUUUUUGGAAGGCCUCCUGGUGGCACCUGUGCGACCAAAAGCACACAUUCUGGAAUGAGUACAAUGAAGCGGAGGUGUGGCUCACCACACCAGCUGGGAAGCCCCUCCGUAAUGGUUGCUUUUGCUUUUGGAGGCCAUGUUUCCAGAUAGUCCGGGGAGCUAAGAGGGAGGUCUAGCACAUGCUCACUAUCCUCAUGAGGGAGGCCGUCUGGCAAGGGGCGGAAGAACAGCGCCCCGCCCCCACCUUGGGAGCACAUCUGCCCCCUCUGACUGCAGGCAUUGCUUUGGCUGCUCUUCUCCCUGCCCCAGGCCCUGCCAGUUCUGUGUGGAGUGUCCCGCCCCCGCCGCCAGCCCAGCUUUCUCAGCUCCAGUGAUGCACAGGAAAUAAACUCAUGUUCUACGGACCCCUUCUGGUCUGAAACUGACCUUUAAGCUCCUUGGUGUGUGUCCCACAUGACCUCCUUUGGUUCCAGACUCCCCACCCAUCCACCCUCAUUCAGAAUAGAGUAUCAUUUUUAUGUCCUGUUUCUAUCUUGUCUCUCACUGGUGUGAUACUAUGUACUUCAGACCUGCUCUGGAAAUACUGUAAUGUCAAAGGAGAAAAAUAAAUUUGUAUUUCUUUUCCCUGGUC
RNAcentral lists this long non-coding RNA (1535 nucleotides) under Suricata suricatta (meerkat). RNAcentral describes it as "lncRNA (ENSSSUG00005018409.1)". Lineage: Eukaryota; Metazoa; Chordata; Mammalia; Carnivora; Herpestidae. The record is from RNAcentral.